This is a non-coding RNA of Candidatus Curtissbacteria bacterium, 75 nucleotides long. Lineage: Bacteria; Candidatus Curtissiibacteriota. The record is from Rfam.
GGGCCGUUAGCUCAGCCCGGUUAGAGCGUUACACUGAUAAUGUAAAGGUCAAUGGUUCGAAUCCAUUACGGCCCA